This 253-nucleotide ribosomal RNA is filed under the name uncultured bacterium. RNAcentral describes it as "partial 16S ribosomal RNA". It matches the Rfam family "Bacterial small subunit ribosomal RNA", at positions 524 to 776 of the family's 1533-position model. The record is from RNAcentral.
UACAGGGGGUGCGAGCGUUACUCGGAAUUACUGGGCGUAAAGCGUGCGUAGACGGUUAUUUAAGUCGGAUGUGAAAGCCCCUGGCUCAACUGGGGAAGUGCACCCGAAACUGAAUGGCUUGAGUGCGAAAGAGGGUCGCGGAAUUCCCGGUGUAGAGGUGAAAUUCGUAGAUAUCGGGAGGAACACCGGUGGCGAAGGCGGCGACCUGGGUCGACACUGACGCUGAGGCGCGAAAGCGUGGGGAGCAAACAGG